AGUGAACGCUGGCGGUAGGCCUAACACAUGCAAGUCGAACGGCAGCACAGUAAGAGCUUGCUCUUACGGGUGGCGAGUGGCGGACGGGUGAGGAAUACAUCGGAAUCUACUUUUUCGUGGGGGAUAACGUAGGUAAACUUACGCUAAUACCGCAUACGCCCUACGGGUGAAAGCAGGGGAUCUUCGGACCUUGCGCGAUUGAAUGAGCCGAUGUCGGAUUUGUUAGUUGGCGGGGUAAAGGCCCACCAAGGCGACGAUCCGUAGCUGGUCAGAGAGGAUGAUCAGCCACACUAGAGCGGAGACACGGUCCAGACUCCUACGAGAGGCAGCAGUGGGGAAUAUUGGACAAUGGGCGCAAGCAUGAUCCAGCCAUACCGCGUGGGUGAAGAAGGCCUUCGGGUUGUAAAGCCCUUUUGUUGGGAAAGAAAAGCAGCAGGUUAAUACCCCGCUGUUCUGACGGUACCCAAAGAAUAAGCACCGGCUAACUUCGUG
Molecule: ribosomal RNA, 492 nt
Filed under: uncultured bacterium
Lineage: Bacteria
Description: partial 16S ribosomal RNA
Rfam family: Bacterial small subunit ribosomal RNA
Source: RNAcentral